This 460-nucleotide ribosomal RNA is filed under the name uncultured bacterium. RNAcentral describes it as "partial 16S ribosomal RNA". It matches the Rfam family "Bacterial small subunit ribosomal RNA", at positions 338 to 795 of the family's 1533-position model. The record is from RNAcentral.
CCUACGGGAGGCAGCAGUGAGGAAUAUUGGUCAAUGGACGAGAGUCUGAACCAGCCAAGUAGCGUGAAGGAUGACUGCCCUAUGGGUUGUAAACUUCUUUUAUAAGGGAAUAAAACACGGCACGUGUGCAUUUUUGCAUGUACUUUAUGAAUAAGGAUCGGCUAACUCCGUGCCAGCAGCCGCGGUAAUACGGAGGUUCCGAGCGUUAUCCGGAUUUAUUGGGUUUAAAGGGAGCGUAGACGGGUGGUUAAGUCAGUGGUGAAAGUUUGCGGCUCAACCGUAAGAUUGCAGUUGAUACUGGCAGGCUUGAGUGCAGGUGAGGUAGGCGGAAUUCGUGGUGUAGCGGUGAAAUGCUUAGAUAUCACGAAGAACCCCGAUUGCGAAGGCAGCUUGCUGAACUGUAACUGACGUUGAUGCUCGAAAGUGUGGGUAUCAAACAGGAUUAGAUACCCCGGUAGUC